Sus scrofa (pig) is the source of this 72-nucleotide transfer RNA. It matches the Rfam family "tRNA". Rfam says of the family: Transfer RNA (tRNA) molecules are approximately 80 nucleotides in length. NCBI's taxonomy places the organism in Eukaryota, Metazoa, Chordata, Mammalia, Artiodactyla, Suidae. The record is from Rfam.
UCCUUGGUGGCCUAGUGGUUAGGGCUUGGCAUUUUCAUUGCUGUAGCCUGGGUUCAAUCCCUGGUCUAAGAA